UCCAGAGGCUAGAUAUAUAGGAGGUUGUGGCUGCUCCAGCAGCUUGGAUUCAGAGUGAGAAGGCAUAAAGGAGAAUCCCCAGCUGACUUGUGCAGUGGUUAAUUGAAAUUAUUCAGGCAAGAGAUGAUGGUGUCUUGGACCAGGGGAUGAGGAAGGCUACAAAAUGUGUCUACCUGUAUUCUGUGAGGAGAACGUGUUCCCUGGUUUUAGAUACUGUGAAGAUGGAUCAGGAGAGAGUUUAUCUAGACUGUUGGGGAAAGGUGUUGCGAUUCCUUCAGCUACACAGGAUUGAAAGGAGACAUUUCUGAAGGGGAAAAAGGAAAUGAAAGAAAAGAUGUUUCAGAUUGAGGAUAUGCUGUGUGGUGAACUUGUUCUUCACUCUGUAGGGUUCACAAAUGACUCUUCACUGCCCUCUUGGAUGAAAUAAACUGGUUCCCAUAGAAAUGGACCGUCUCUGAUUUCACAGUCUAGAGCACACAAAUAACUCAACUUUCUGGAAGCAAGGGUGAUGGCUCGUGAGAGCUCAAGGACAAGGAGGAGUCUGUAGAAGCACACCUGGACUCGGGGAAAUCAUUGACCUCUCAUCCUGAAUUAAGUAGCGCUUGAAAAGACUCUCUUUGAAUCAGAAAAAUAAUGCGAGCUCCUAUCAAACUACCUUACACAGCCAACUGAGUGAUCAUAGGCUUGGGUGGAAAAAAUGUAAUUCGUAGAACCUUUUAAGAGCUAAGAUUCCUUAAUCAACAUGGAUACCGUCUUGUUGAAUGACACCGAACUGUGCUGCGCAGGAUUCGGUUGCAUGGUGGCUGGAGCUGCCUCUCUGGGACCCAAAUCUCAGACCUGCUGCAAAGUGACUAUAUGAUCUGCAACUUGCUAACCCUUCUAGGCUUUUGUUUUAUUAUUUACAUAAUGAAGUGAGGGGAAUAUGUUCCUUGUAAAUUUGUUAAGAGGAUUAAAUUAGUUCAUGUCAAAUGAUUUAGAACACUGUCUGCCACAUAUUAAGGACUCAACAAAUACUACCUAUUAUUAACAAUGUGCCCUAAAUCUGUAAAUCACUCAAUAAUACAUGGCAUUAGGCUAAAUAUGGAAGGUAGAAGGAAAUAAAUUGUCCAGAAGCUAAAAAUAUGAAAGACUCUUCAUAUAUUUAAAAUAUUUUCUUUAAUUCUUUUGUUUUUUUCUUUUUUGAGACAGAGUCUCGCUCCGUCACCCAGGCUGGAGUGCAGUGGCAUGUUCUCGGCUCGCUGCAGCCUCUGCUUCCUGGAUUCAAGUGAUUCUCCUUCCUCAGCCUCCCAAGUAGCUGGAAUUACAGGCAUGUGCCAACAUGCCGAGCUAAUUUUUUUAUUUUUUGUAGAGAUGGGGUUUCACCAUGUUGCCCAGGCUGGUUUCAAACUCCUGACCUCAAGUGAGCCACCCACCUUGGCCUUCCAAAGUGCUGAGAUUACAGGCUUGAGUCACUGUGCCCAGCCUGAAAUAUCUUCUUCACAUCUUUUCAUAUGCAUAUUUGUUUUUACAAGUACAUAAAUAUACAUUUUUGAUAUAACUUGGAAUCUUGCAUUUUCUAACUCAAUGUCUAACUAAGCCGCAGAACAGGAUGUUGAAUCCAGCACAUUGCAAUACUUGCCUAUCAACAGAGGACAUGGUGAGUUUCCUCAUCCAUAAAACAGAGUUAAUUAAACCUAUGCCCUUGCUAAUCACAGGGAUGCAUUUUGAAUUAAAAGAAUCAU
RNAcentral lists this long non-coding RNA (1721 nucleotides) under Homo sapiens (human). RNAcentral describes it as "non-protein coding lnc-GATA3-7:6". Lineage: Eukaryota; Metazoa; Chordata; Mammalia; Primates; Hominidae. The record is from RNAcentral.